This 1409-nucleotide long non-coding RNA is filed under the name Sorghum bicolor (sorghum). RNAcentral's name for it is "long non-coding RNA (SBIC_LNC009027)". The record is from RNAcentral. Lineage: Eukaryota; Viridiplantae; Streptophyta; Magnoliopsida; Poales; Poaceae.
AGCAUGUAUGCAUCAAUAUAUUUCUAAUCUUAUAGUAAAUUUUAAUUUCCCAAAAAUUAUUAUUUUUCCUAUAUUUUGAUGCUCACAAAAUUGACUCAAUAAAUCAAAUUCAACUAUUUAAAACAAGGGAAUUUUUAGGGUGUUACAUUACACACUGGGGAUACCAGUUUACCAAAGUGAAAGCAAGAGAAAAAGAACAAACAGCAUCCAUGCUGAACUACACAAAGUUUCAGACAAAGAAACAAAUCUUAAUACAGAACAGCAAUACCAAAGUUGAAGUUAAGAUCAAACCACAUACAUAAUAUAUUGAAUCCAACAACUUCCACUAUAAGUGUACCAGUUCAACUCUAAUUGAUAACUCCUGUUGCAAUCUCCUGUCAUCUUCAUUAGCAAUUGUUUUUUUGAAUGAACUGGAGGGACCGAAGUCCCUACAGGAAAUAUAUUAAAACAAAAAGAGGUUCAGAACAAAAACAUACAAAAAACACAAAAACAGAAAUAGGAAAAAAAGACACGGACCAGCAGCAGCACAGGGAGUUCGGGAGACAAAGAAAGAAAUAAAGAAAAUAAGCCUACUCCUACAAACUAUUGUAGACUCUGAAUCCAAGAUUGAAACUAGAAGUGGAGACCAGGCUUGAUCCUGUAUUCAAGAAGGGAGGCCUCUUUGAGAAAAACCCUCUGGCAACCUGGUAGGCUCGGCUGAAUUCCUUUGAAGAUGAGAACAUUCUGUUGGUAUAAAUUAACUGCACUCCAUUUAAAUAGAUUUAAGUAGGAUUAUCUGCAAGCGCACAGAUAUCAUACCAGUGUCACAUUUUACCUAGAGGUUUUAAAUAUCGUAUCCACAGGGAACAAUUGUGAUGAUGACAAAGUAUAUAGACUUAACCCUACAAUUAGGCUAGAUCAUAUCAAGAAAAAAGGAAAUAGCUAAUGCACUCUGGUUCCGACUCCGGUAAACUUUGUAUAAUAUCGUCUUAUCAGGCAAGUAACCUAAUAGGAGAAGAAACAGAGUAAUCUCUUAUGACACUUCUGGGGGCGCCUAUCAAUCCUAUCAAUGGGAAGUGGACUACAGAGGAAUCAACGCAACUGUCACCUACGCGAACUACCACUGUCCGGCUAAUCAGGGGACAUUCACAAGUAAACCUAGCCUAGGCACCACGCCUACACUACAAAAUAGUACUUCAACCAAGUAAUGACCAAGAUCAAAGCACUCAAUAUGAGUUGUGAACCAAAGAACAAAUAAGAACAAGUUGCUUACUUAAAUCAGAAGGGUAAGUAGAAAAGUACCUCAGAACACAGCUCCGGGUGAGGGAACUGAAUCCAGAAGAAUACAACCACGAAGAAGUGCCGACAUGCCGAAACUCCUAUAGAAUCUCUACUCCUCUACUUAAUCUCUCUAAUCUCUAAAUAAGACU